UAGAUUUUAUUUAUUUAAAUUUAAUAAAUUUUGAUUUUAAAUUUUUUAAAAAUAAUUAUAUUUUAAAAUUAUUUAUUAGUAAUGUAUAUUGAAAUAAUAAAUAAUAAUAAUAGUUGACUUGUAUUGUAAAAGAUUAUUGAAAUAAUUUGAAAAAUAAUUAAUUUUUAAGAAAUUUUUGUUUAAUGUACCUUGUGUAUCAGGGUUAAUUAAAUAAAGAAUAAAUAAAUUAUUUUUCUCGAAAUUAAGAGAUUUAUAAAUUUAUUUUAGUUAAUGUUUUAUAAUUAUUAAUAAUAAAUUUAUAGAAAUGAAACGUUAUUCGUUCUUAUUGAUAUCUAGUUUUUUAAGAAAUAAAUUUAAUUUAUAUAUUAUUUAAUUUAAUUUUAUUUUUGUUUAUAAAAUUAAUUUAUAAUAUAAAUAUUUUUAGGGAUAAGCUUAAAAGUAAAUUAUUAAAAAUAAAAUAAAAUUUUAAAUAAAUUUAAGCUUAGAAAUAGCUAUUAUUUAUAAUUAUGUUAUAAUUUAUUUUUUAUAAUAAUAUAAUUUUCUUUAUUUUUAAAUUUUUAUUAAAAAAUUAAUAUAAAUUGAAAAUAUUAAGGUAUAAUGAUUAAAUUAGUAUAAAAAAUUAUGUAAAUAAUUUUGUUUAAAAGAUUUUUAUAAGUAAUUCGGCAACAAUAAUAUUUGCCUGUUUAUCAAAAACAUGUCUUUUUGAAUUUAAUUUAAAGUCGGACCUGCCCAUUGAAAAAUUUAAAAGGCCGCGGUAUUUUGACCGUGCAAAGGUAGCAUAAUAAUUAGUUUUUUAAUUGAAAACUUGUAUGAAGGGUUUGACAAAAUAUUUUCUGUCUCAUAAAAUUUUUAUUAAAAGUUUACUUUUUAGUUAAAAGGCUAAAAUUAUUUUAAAGGACGAGAAGACCCUAUAGAACUUUAUAUUUUAAUUAUUUAAUUUAUAAAGAAUAUUUAAGAUUUUAUAAUAUAAAUUAUUUUAUUGGGGUGAUAGUAAGAUUUUAUAAUCUCUUAUUAAUUUUUUUACAAUAAUUUUUGGCUUGUUGAUCCAAUUAUAUUGAUUAAAAAUUUAAGUUACCUUAGGGAUAACAGCGUAAUUUUUUUUACGAGUUCUUAUCAACAAAAAAGAUUGCGACCUCGAUGUUGGAUUAAGAAUAAAGUUGGGUGUAGAUGUUCAAAUUUUAGGUCUGUUCGACCUUUAAAUUCUUACAUGAUCUGAGUUCAAACCGGUGUAAGCCAGGUUGGUUUCUAUCCUUAAUAAUUUUUUAUAUUUUAGUACGAAAGGACCAAAUAUUAAUAAUAUUAAUUUUUAUUUAGUUGAAUUUUAUUAAUUUAUAG
RNAcentral lists this ribosomal RNA (1335 nucleotides) under Cramptonomyia spenceri. RNAcentral describes it as "16S ribosomal RNA". The stretch from base 1082 to 1240 matches the Rfam family "Archaeal large subunit ribosomal RNA", at positions 2544 to 2703 of the family's 2987-position model. The record is from RNAcentral. Lineage: Eukaryota; Metazoa; Arthropoda; Insecta; Diptera; Pachyneuridae.